UCUGUCAGACAACGCGGGCGGCGUCCUUAAUACAUCAAAUUCGAGCGCGGGAAGCGGACAGUACUCUUCGGAGAGACGUUCGUGGAACGAGCGGCGGACGGGUGAGUAACACGUAGGCAACCUGCCUGUAAGACUGGGAUAACUCGCGGAAACGCGAGCUAAUACCGGAUAAUACUUAUGAUCACCUGAUGAUAAGUUGAAAGGCGGCUUUUGCUGUCACUUACAGAUGGGCCUGCGGCGCAUUAGCUAGUUGGUGAGGUAACGGCUCACCAAGGCGACGAUGCGUAGCCGACCUGAGAGGGUGAUCGGCCACACUGGGACUGAGACACGGCCCAGACUCCUACGGGAGGCAGCAGUAGGGAAUCUUCCGCAAUGGACGAAAGUCUGACGGAGCAACGCCGCGUGAGUGAUGAAGGUUUUCGGAUCGUAAAACUCUGUUGUCGGGGAAGAACAAGUAUGAUAGUAACUGAUCGUACCUUGACGGUACCCGACCAGAAAGCCACGGCUAACUACGUGCCAGCAGCCGCGGUAAUACGUAGGUGGCAAGCGUUGUCCGGAAUUAUUGGGCGUAAAGCGCUCGCAGGCGGUUCUUUAAGUCUGAUGUGAAAUCUUGCGGCUCAACCGUAAACGUGCAUUGGAAACUGGAGGACUUGAGUGCAGAAGAGGAGAGUGGAAUUCCACGUGUAGCGGUGAAAUGCGUAGAGAUGUGGAGGAACACCAGUGGCGAAGGCGACUCUCUGGUCUGUAACUGACGCUGAGGAGCGAAAGCGUGGGGAGCGAACAGGAUUAGAUACCCUGGUAGUCCACGCCGUAAACGAUGAGUGCUAGGUGUUAGGGGGUUUCCGCCCCUUAGUGCUGAAGUUAACGCAUUAAGCACUCCGCCUGGGGAGUACGGCCGCAAGGCUGAAACUCAAAAGAAUUGACGGGGACCCGCACAAGCGGUGGAGCAUGUGGUUUAAUUCGAAGCAACGCGAAGAACCUUACCAGGUCUUGACAUCCUUUGAACCCUCUGGAGACAGAGCUUUCCCUUCGGGGACAAAGUGACAGGUGGUGCAUGGUGUC
RNAcentral lists this ribosomal RNA (1062 nucleotides) under Oceanobacillus sojae. RNAcentral's name for it is "bacterial SSU rRNA". It matches the Rfam family "Bacterial small subunit ribosomal RNA", at positions 20 to 1053 of the family's 1533-position model. The record is from RNAcentral. Lineage: Bacteria; Bacillati; Bacillota; Bacilli; Caryophanales; Bacillaceae.